This 505-nucleotide ribosomal RNA is filed under the name uncultured bacterium. RNAcentral describes it as "bacterial SSU rRNA". It matches the Rfam family "Bacterial small subunit ribosomal RNA", at positions 501 to 1008 of the family's 1533-position model. The record is from RNAcentral.
CUACGUGCCAGCAGCCGCGGUAAUACGGAAGGUCCGGGCGUUAUCCGGAUUUAUUGGGUUUAAAGGGAGCGUAGGCCGGAGAUUAAGUGUGUUGUGAAAUGUAGACGCUCAACGUCUGACUUGCAGCGCAUACUGGUUUCCUUGAGUACGCACAACGUUGGCGGAAUUCGUCGUGUAGCGGUGAAAUGCUUAGAUAUGACGAAGAACUCCGAUUGCGAAGGCAGCUGACGGGAGCGCAACUGACGCUGAAGCUCGAAGGUGCGGGUAUCGAACAGGAUUAGAUACCCUGGUAGUCCGCACAGUAAACGAUGGAUGCCCGCUGUUGGUACUUGGUAUCAGCGGCUAAGCGAAAGCAUUAAGCAUCCCACCUGGGGAGUACGCCGGCAACGGUGAAACUCAAAGGAAUUGACGGGGGCCCGCACAAGCGGAGGAACAUGUGGUUUAAUUCGAUGAUACGCGAGGAACCUUACCCGGGCUUGAAUUGCAGAGGAAGGAUUUAGAGAUA